This 71-nucleotide transfer RNA is filed under the name Rhipicephalus microplus (southern cattle tick). RNAcentral describes it as "tRNA-Gly". It matches the Rfam family "tRNA". From Rfam's summary of the family: Transfer RNA (tRNA) molecules are approximately 80 nucleotides in length. Their secondary structure includes four short double-helical elements and three loops (D, anti-codon, and T loops). Further hydrogen bonds mediate the characteristic L-shaped molecular structure. tRNAs have two regions of fundamental functional importance: the anti-codon, which is responsible for specific mRNA codon recognition, and the 3' end, to which the tRNAs corresponding amino acid is attached (by aminoacyl-tRNA synthetases). tRNAs cope with the degeneracy of the genetic code in two manners: having more than one tRNA (with a specific anti-codon) for a particular amino acid; and 'wobble' base-pairing, i.e. permitting non-standard base-pairing at the 3rd anti-codon position. Lineage: Eukaryota; Metazoa; Arthropoda; Arachnida; Ixodida; Ixodidae. The record is from Rfam by way of RNAcentral.
GCGUCGGUGGUUCAGCGGUAGAAUACUCGCCUGCCACGCGGGUGACGCGGGUUCGAUUCCCGGCCGACGCA